AGCGAGAGAUAAUCAAGUUUGAGUGAUAGAUCGAAUAUCCCCACUCCGUAGGUGAACUGCGGAGGGAUCAUUACAGAGUCAGCCAACUCCACAACCCAUGUGAACUUAUCUCUUUGUUGCCUCGGCGCAAGCUAGCGGGACCUCGCCCCCGGGCGACCGCCGGCGGACACACCAAACUCUGUUAUCUUCGUUGAUUAUCUGAGUGUCUUAUUUAAUAAGUCAAAACUUUCAACAACGGAUCUCUUGGUUCUGGCAUCGAUGAAGAACGCAGCGAAAUGCGAUAAGUAAUGUGAAUUGCAGAAUUCAGUGAAUCAUCGAAUCUUUGAACGCACAUUGCGCCCAUUAGUAUUCUAGUGGGCAUGCCUGUUCGAGCGUCAUUUCAACCCCUAAGACAGCUUACUGUUGGGAAUUACGGCCUCCGUAGCUCCUUAAAGACAUUGGCGGAGUGGCAGUGGUCCUCUGAGCGUAGUAAUUCUUUAUCUCGCUUUUGUUAGGUGCUCCCCCCCGGCCGUAAAACCCCCCCUUUUCUCUGGUUGACCUCGGAUCAGGUAGGAAACCCGCGACUGCCC
RNAcentral lists this ribosomal RNA (569 nucleotides) under Nigrospora oryzae. RNAcentral's name for it is "eukaryotic LSU rRNA". The stretch from base 224 to 377 matches the Rfam family "5.8S ribosomal RNA". The record is from RNAcentral. Lineage: Eukaryota; Fungi; Ascomycota; Sordariomycetes; Amphisphaeriales; Apiosporaceae.